RNAcentral lists this unclassified non-coding RNA (247 nucleotides) under uncultured fungus. Its description in RNAcentral is "partial contains 5.8S ribosomal RNA, internal transcribed spacer 2, and large subunit ribosomal RNA". Lineage: Eukaryota; Fungi. The record is from RNAcentral. RNAcentral also lists the same sequence under 1 other name.
AACGCACAUUGCGCCCCUUGGUAUUCCAUGGGGCAUGCCUGUUCGAGCGUCAUUUGUACCCUCAAGCUCUGCUUGGUGUUGGGUGUUUGUCCCGCUUUUCGCGUGGACUCGCCUUAAAACAAUUGGCAGCCGGCAUAUUGGCCUGGAGCGCAGCACAAUUUGCGCCUCUUGUCAUGAUUGUUGGCAUCCAUCAAGACCAUUUUUUGCUCUUGACCUCGGAUCAGGUAGGGAUACCCGCUGAACUUAA